UGCCAUGUGACGAGCUGCUGUUCCAA
This 26-nucleotide non-coding RNA is filed under the name Mus musculus (house mouse). The record is from RNAcentral. Lineage: Eukaryota; Metazoa; Chordata; Mammalia; Rodentia; Muridae.